UAUGUGAGACUCAACGAUCUGCAUGGU
RNAcentral lists this non-coding RNA (27 nucleotides) under Bombyx mori (domestic silkworm). Lineage: Eukaryota; Metazoa; Arthropoda; Insecta; Lepidoptera; Bombycidae. The record is from RNAcentral.